CACAUGCAAGUCGAGGGGCAGCAUGAACUUAGCUUGCUAAGUUUGAUGGCGACCGGCGCACGGGUGAGUAACACGUAUCCAACCUGCCGAUGACUCGGGGAUAGCCUUUCGAAAGAAAGAUUAAUACCCGAUGGCAUAGUUCUUCCGCAUGGUGGAACUAUUAAAGAAUUUCGGUCAUCGAUGGGGAUGCGUUCCAUUAGGUUGUUGGCGGGGUAACGGCCCACCAAGCCUUCGAUGGAUAGGGGUUCUGAGAGGAAGGUCCCCCACAUUGGAACUGAGACACGGUCCAAACUCCUACGGGAGGCAGCAGUGAGGAAUAUUGGUCAAUGGACGAGAGUCUGAACCAGCCAAGUAGCGUGAAGGAUGACUGCCCUAUGGGUUGUAAACUUCUUUUAUACGGGAAUAAAGUGAGGCACGUGUGCCUUUUUGUAUGUACCGUAUGAAUAAGGAUCGGCUAACUCCGUGCCAGCAGCCGCGGUAAUACGGAGGAUCCGAGCGUUAUCCGGAUUUAUUGGGUUUAAAGGGAGCGUAGGCGGACGCUUAAGUCAGUUGUGAAAGUUUGCGGCUCAACCGUAAAAUUGCAGUUGAUACUGGGUGUCUUGAGUACAGUAGAGGCAGGCGGAAUUCGUGGUGUAGCGGUGAAAUGCUUAGAUAUCACGAAGAACUCCGAUUGCGAAGGCAGCCUGCUGGACUGUAACUGACGCUGAUGCUCGAAAGUGUGGGUAUCAAACAGGAUUAGAUACCCUGGUAGUCCACACAGUAAACGAUGAAUACUCGCUGUUUGCGAUAUACAGUAAGCGGCCAAGCGAAAGCGUUAAGUAUUCCACCUGG
Molecule: ribosomal RNA, 831 nt
Filed under: uncultured bacterium
Lineage: Bacteria
Description: bacterial SSU rRNA
Rfam family: Bacterial small subunit ribosomal RNA
Source: RNAcentral